UCCCCGAUUUCCGGGGCAGUCUCGUUAGAGUUCCCGCCUUUACGCGUUGGCAACUAACGAUAAGGGUUGCGCUCGUUGCUGGACUUAACCAAACACCUCACGGCACGAGCUGACGACAGCCAUGCAGCACCUAUAUAGAGACCCUUUCGGGAAAGUUAAUCUCUUAACUCGUCCUCUACAUUUCGAGCCCAGGUAAGGUUCUUCGCGUUGCAUCGAAUUAAACCACAUGCUCCACUGCUUGUGCGGGCCCCCGUCAAUUCUUUUGAGUUUCACCCUUGCGAGCGUACUCCCCAGGUGGCAUACUUAACGCGUUAGCUCCGAUACAGAAAGGGUUGAGCCCUCCUACAUCUAGUAUGCAUCGUUUACGGCUAGGACUAC
This 378-nucleotide unclassified non-coding RNA is filed under the name uncultured Chlamydiales bacterium. Its description in RNAcentral is "contains 16S-23S intergenic spacer region". Lineage: Bacteria; Pseudomonadati; Chlamydiota; Chlamydiia; Chlamydiales. The record is from RNAcentral.